AAACCCCUACGGGGCGCAGCAGUGGGGAAUAUUGGACAAUGGGGGGAACCCUGAUCCAGCGACGCCGCGUGAGUGAAGAAGUAUUUCGGUAUGUAAAGCUCUACCAGCAGGGAAGAAAGAAAUGACGGUACCUGACUAAGAAGCCCCGGCUAACUACGUGCCAGCAGCCGCGGUAAUACGUAGGGGGCAAGCGUUAUCCGGAUUUACUGGGUGUAAAGGGAGCGUAGACGGCAAUGCAAGUCUGGAGUGAAAGGCGGGGGCCCAACCCCCGGCCUGCUCUGGAAACUGUAUAGCUGGAGUGCAGG
Molecule: ribosomal RNA, 305 nt
Filed under: uncultured bacterium
Lineage: Bacteria
Description: bacterial SSU rRNA
Rfam family: Bacterial small subunit ribosomal RNA
Source: RNAcentral